This 691-nucleotide long non-coding RNA is filed under the name Ictidomys tridecemlineatus (thirteen-lined ground squirrel). RNAcentral describes it as "lncRNA (ENSSTOG00000030869.1)". Lineage: Eukaryota; Metazoa; Chordata; Mammalia; Rodentia; Sciuridae. The record is from RNAcentral.
AGGCACAUUGAGAAAACAUCUAAUUUAAAGAGCAAGGUCAAAAAAUGGAAGACCUUGAUGAAUCAGAGCCAACUUUAAUAGCCUCAAUGGCCUUUCAAAUGACUUGCCCUAAUUAUAAGGAUAUUUGGGCAUACAUUGAAAAACCAAGCACUUCACAUGAAGAUCCUCAUAGCCUACCAAAAAUCCAAAAAGCAUUUGAUUCAUGUCAAAGAAUAAUAGAACUUGACAAAAGUCACUGUUCACAGUGUUUAUUACAUAUACAAGAAGUGGAAAAAGGAGAAAAUAAACUUUGUGGAAUGAAAGAGAAAUUAUCAGAAAUGGAAAAUAUGAAAUCUAAGUUAGAGCAGAGAGAAAUAAAAUGGAAACAAGAACUCUGCCACUUGAGGCAUGAUUUAAAAGAAAAAGAGAAGAAGUUAAGAGAUUUUGAUCAGCUUUUGGAAAAAAUGAAUAACCAGUUAAGAGAAAAAGAUGAGAAACAUAAUAAACAAAUUGAAUUGAACAAAGAAUUUCAACUGUCUUAUGGGACAUUGAAGGCAGAAUUAAAGACUGCAAGAAGUAACUCAAAUCAGACAUUUAAUAGAGCUUCAAAAAUUUUAGAGGAGUUGAAUGAAAAUAAUGAGUUUUCAUUAAUGAAGUUGAUGCAAUUCAGAAUUGAAAAGCUAGAAUCUCAAGUGUCUGAAAUCAAAAAUGA